CCUACGGGAGGCAGCAGUGAGGAAUAUUGGUCAAUGGACGAGAGUCUGAACCAGCCAAGUAGCGUGAAGGAUGACUGCCCUAUGGGUUGUAAACUUCUUUUAUAAAGGAAUAAAACGAGGCACGUGUGCCUUUUUGCAUGUACUUUAUGAAUAAGGAUCGGCUAACUCCGUGCCAGCAGCCGCGGUAAUACGGAGGAUCCGAGCGUUAUCCGGAUUUAUUGGGUUUAAAGGGAGCGUAGAUGGAUUGUUAAGUCAGUUGUGAAAGUUUGCGGCUCAACCGUAAAAUUGCAAUUGAUACUGGGAGUCUGGAGUACAGUAUAGGUGGGCGGAAUGCGUGGUGUAGAGGUGAAAUGCGUAGAGAGCACGAAGAACUGCGAGUGCGAAGGCAGCUGACGGGACUGCAACUGACACUGAGGUUUGAAAGUGUGGGUAGCAAACAGGAUGAGAGACCCUUGUAGGC
RNAcentral lists this ribosomal RNA (460 nucleotides) under uncultured bacterium. Its description in RNAcentral is "partial 16S ribosomal RNA". It matches the Rfam family "Bacterial small subunit ribosomal RNA", at positions 338 to 795 of the family's 1533-position model. The record is from RNAcentral.